Molecule: microRNA precursor, 78 nt
Filed under: Trichobilharzia regenti
Lineage: Eukaryota; Metazoa; Platyhelminthes; Trematoda; Strigeidida; Schistosomatidae
Description: mir-3492 microRNA precursor family
Rfam family: mir-3492 microRNA precursor family
Source: Rfam by way of RNAcentral
AGUCUUUUGAAUUCAUGAUGAGAUAUCGUCAGAAAUCAGUUCAUCAGGACUGAUGUAACUUCCGAAAUAAGUGAGGCG